GUGGGGAAUCUUCCGCAAUGGACGAAAGUCUGACGGAGCAACGCCGCGUGAGUGAAGAAGGUUUUCGGAUCGUAAAGCUCUUUCGUUAGGGACGAACGUGCUCUUUGUGAAUAAUGAGGAGUAAUGACGGUACCUAAAUAAGAAGCCACGGCUAACUACGUGCCAGCAGCCGCGGUAAUACGUAGGUGGCAAGCGUUGUCCGGAAUUAUUGGGCGUAAAGCGCGCGCAGGCGGGAUAUCAAGUCUGUCUUAAAAGUGCGAGGCUCAACCUCGUGAGGAGACAGAAACUGGUAUUCUUGAGUGUCGGAGAGGAAAGUGGAAUUCCAAGUGUAGCGGUGAAAUGCGUAGAGAUUUGGAAGAACACCAGUGGCGAAGGCGACUCACUGGCCCAAUACUGACGCUGAGGCGCGAAAGCGUGGGGAGCAAACAGGAUUAGAAACCCCUGUAGUCC
This 450-nucleotide ribosomal RNA is filed under the name uncultured bacterium. RNAcentral's name for it is "partial 16S ribosomal RNA". It matches the Rfam family "Bacterial small subunit ribosomal RNA", at positions 354 to 796 of the family's 1533-position model. The record is from RNAcentral.